GGGGGACCCAACCUGUGGGGAAGGACUUGGGAUUCUGUGAACAUCCAAUGUAAUCCUCCUACCCAUGUUUCCCCUACUUUCUUAGGUGUGAUCUUUACUAGUGAGGAACAUUGGAAGACCCUUCGGUGAUUCUCUCUGGUCACCAUGAGAGACUUUGGAAUGGGAAAGCAGAGUGUAGAGGAUAAAGGAAGAGGCCCAAUAUUUGGUGGAGGAACUGAAGAAAUACAAGGUGAAUUACUUCUGCCACUGUCUCUAGGUGGCAGUGUUUCCCCG
Molecule: long non-coding RNA, 273 nt
Filed under: Rattus norvegicus (Norway rat)
Lineage: Eukaryota; Metazoa; Chordata; Mammalia; Rodentia; Muridae
Description: long non-coding RNA NONRATT032431
Source: RNAcentral